Non-coding RNA from Colletotrichum caudatum, 83 nucleotides. The record is from the annotation of a GenBank genome assembly. Lineage: Eukaryota; Fungi; Ascomycota; Sordariomycetes; Glomerellales; Glomerellaceae.
GGCCGGUUGGCCCAAUGGCAAGGCGUCUGACUACGAUCACGUAGGGUAUCAGGAGAUUCUGGGUUCGACCCCCAGGCUGGUCA